RNAcentral lists this ribosomal RNA (399 nucleotides) under Bacillus amyloliquefaciens. Its description in RNAcentral is "bacterial SSU rRNA". It matches the Rfam family "Bacterial small subunit ribosomal RNA", at positions 144 to 529 of the family's 1533-position model. The record is from RNAcentral. Lineage: Bacteria; Bacillati; Bacillota; Bacilli; Caryophanales; Bacillaceae.
AUACUCCGGGAACCGGGGCUAAUACCGGAUGGUUGUUUGAACCGCAUGGUUCAGACAUAAAAGGUGGCUUCGGCUACCACUUACAGAUGGACCCGCGGCGCAUUAGCUAGUUGGUGAGGUAACGGCUCACCAAGGCGACGAUGCGUAGCCGACCUGAGAGGGUGAUCGGCCACACUGGGACUGAGACACGGCCCAGACUCCUACGGGAGGCAGCAGUAGGGAAUCUUCCGCAAUGGACGAAAGUCUGACGGAGCAACGCCGCGUGAGUGAUGAAGGUUUUCGGAUCGUAAAGCUCUGUUGUUAGGGAAGAACAAGUGCCGUUCAAAUAGGGCGGCACCUUGACGGUACCUAACCAGAAAGCCACGGCUAACUACGUGCCAGCAGCCGCGGUAAUACGAA